CAACCCUCGCGCUCCCCUCGGGGAGCACGGUGUUGGGGACCGGCAGCACACUGAGCCGACCCCGAAAUGGAGUGGCGGCCCGUCCGCGGCGACCUCUGCGUAGUAAUCUCACCUCGCACCGGGACCCCGACGCGGCCACGCCUUGAAACCCCCCAAUUUCUGAA
RNAcentral lists this unclassified non-coding RNA (164 nucleotides) under uncultured Lecanicillium. RNAcentral's name for it is "sequence contains ITS2". The record is from RNAcentral. Lineage: Eukaryota; Fungi; Ascomycota; Sordariomycetes; Hypocreales; Cordycipitaceae.